AGAGUUUGAUCCUGGCUCAGGAUGAACGCUGGCGGCAUGCCUAAUACAUGCAAGUCGAACGAGGGUCCUUCGGGACUCGAGUGGCGAACGGGUGAGUAACACGUAGGGAACCUGCCCGUGCGACCGGGAGAACUUUCGGAAACGGAAGCUGAUACCGGAUAGGGACAGAGACGGCAUCGACUCUGUGCUAAAGGAGCUGAAAGGCUCCGCGCACGGAUGGACCUGCGGUGCAUCAGCUGGUUGGUGAGGUAACGGCCCACCAAGGCGACGAUGCAUAGCCGGCCUGAGAGGGCGGACGGCCACACUGGGACUGAGACACGGCCCAGACUCCUACGGGAGGCAGCAGUAGGGAAUUUUCGUCAAUGGGCGCAAGCCUGAACGAGCAAUGCCGCGUGAACGAGGAAGGUCUUCGGAUCGUAAAGUUCUGUUGAAGGGGAAAAAGAGCGGAGAGAGGAAAUGGUCUCCGAUUGAUAUUACCCUUCGAGGAAGUCACGGCUAACUACGUGCCAGCAGCCGCGGUAAUACGUAGGUGGCGAGCGUUAUCCGGAAUGAUUGGGCGCAAAGGGUGCGUAGGCGGCCUGCUAAGUCUGGAGUGAAAGGUACCGGCUCAACCGGUACAGGCUCUGGAAACUGGCGGGCUAGAGAGCAGGAGAGGGCGGUGGAACUCCAUGUGUAGCGGUAAAAUGCGUAGAUAUAUGGAAGAACACCAGUGGCGAAGGCGGCCGCCUGGCCUGUUACUGACGCUGAGGCACGAAAGCGUGGGGAGCAAAUAGGAUUAGAUACCCUAGUAGUCCACGCCGUAAACGAUGAGGACCAAGUGUUGGGGAAGACCCAGUGCUGCAGUUAACGCAGUGAGUCCUCCGCCUGGGGAGUAUGCACGCAAGUGUGAAACUCAAAGGAAUUGACGGGGGCCCGCACAAGCGGUGGAGUAUGUGGUUUAAUUCGAAGCAACGCGAAGAACCUUACCAGGCCUUGACAUAGGGUGCGAAGCUAUGGAGACAUAGUGGAGGUAAACAUCCAUACAGGUGGUGCAUGGUUGUCGUCAGCUCGUGUCGUGAGAUGUUCAGUUAAGUCUGGCAACGAGCGCAACCCUCGUGAUGUGUUACCAAUAUCGAGUUAGGGACUCACAUCAGACUGCCGGUGAGAAACCGGAGGAAGGCGGGGAUGACGUCAAAUCAUCAUGCCCCUUAUGGCCUGGGCUACACACGUACUACAAUGGCGGCGACAGAGGGCAGCGAGCCUGCGAAGGCAAGCGAAUCCCAAAAAAGCCGUCCCAGUUCGGAUUGGAGUCUGCAACCCGACUCCAUGAAGUUGGAAUCGCUAGUAAUCGCGGAUCAGCAUGCCGCGGUGAAUACGUUCUCGGGCCUUGCACUCACCGCCCGUCA
Molecule: ribosomal RNA, 1385 nt
Filed under: uncultured bacterium
Lineage: Bacteria
Description: 16S ribosomal RNA
Rfam family: Bacterial small subunit ribosomal RNA
Source: RNAcentral